UACAGAGGUCCCGAGCGUUGUUCGGAUUCACUGGGCGUAAAGGGUGCGUAGGCGGUGAGGUAAGUCGGAUGUGAAAUCUCCAAGCUCAACUUGGAAAUGGCAUUGGAAACUACCUUGCUGGAGGUUUGGAGGGGGGACUGGAAUUCUCGGUGUAGCAGUGAAAUGCGUAGAUAUCGAGAGGAACACCAGUGGCGAAGGCGAGUCCCUGGACAAAACCUGACACUGAGGCACGAAAGCUAGGGGAGCAAACAGG
This 253-nucleotide ribosomal RNA is filed under the name uncultured bacterium. RNAcentral describes it as "partial 16S ribosomal RNA". It matches the Rfam family "Bacterial small subunit ribosomal RNA", at positions 524 to 776 of the family's 1533-position model. The record is from RNAcentral.